This 987-nucleotide long non-coding RNA is filed under the name Capsicum annuum. Its description in RNAcentral is "long non-coding RNA (CANN_LNC016598)". The record is from RNAcentral. Lineage: Eukaryota; Viridiplantae; Streptophyta; Magnoliopsida; Solanales; Solanaceae.
AUAUAAAAGUACAUAUUGAAGCACAAUUUUUUUUUUCCAUAUAUGAUACUUACAUCAACCUUCAUCGCUGAUUUAUUUAAUCAACACGAUACAUUCAUCAGAGCUGAAUGGAAAUUGCAAUAACGCAACGUAUAAGUACAUAUUGAAGCACAAUUUUUAUUUUUGGAAAAAGAUAUCAUUUUCACCCCAUACUAUACAAGAAAAGUCUAAGCCAUACCUAAAUUAUAUAAGUGACCUAUUACACACCUUAACUAUAUAAAAGUGAUACUAUUACCUCCCCGCGACCCCCAUUCUAAGGGGUGUGUGUUACACUUAUUUUAGGCGCGUCCAGCCUAUUAAAUAACAAAAGUAAAUGGCUAAAAACAUUAAGGGAAAAGGUAUCGUUUCCACCCCAAACUAUAAUAGAAAAGUCGAAUCCACACCUAAACUAUAUAAGUGACCUAUUACACACUUUAACUAUAAAAAAAUGAUAUUUUUUACUGACGUGAUGCUGACGUGGCAGCGCGUGUAAAACUCUACACCACAUGCAAGUGGUGGUAGCCUGACAGGGUGUAAAUAGUUUCACUUUUUUAUAGUUUAGGGGUGUAAUAGGUCACUUGUAUAGUUUAGGUGUGGCUUCGACUUUUCAGGUAUAAUUUGGAAUGGAAACGAUGUUUUUUCCCUUUAUUUUUUUCAUAAAUGGUACGUACAUACAUCAACAAGAGCAUGCCUCACAGGGGCAUUGACAUGCGCAGUUCAUACAUAAACAAUCACUCGAUAACUUUCUUGAUUUUUGUGCAUCAUUUUUCAUCAGUUGUGAUGAGAUAGAAGAAGAUUCCCAUUCCCAUGGUUGUACAGAACUUGAUGUAGAUUCAAUAUGAAAAAUGCACAAAGCAAUAAUCAUGAUGAAAAUUAUUGUGUUUUUUGACAUGACUUAUUCUUUGGGAGUAUUAUUGUAAGCUAUAGUCUUAUCAAAUGGCACUUAAUAGCAACAUUAUUUAUAAUGUC